GAAUAGUCCGCCCCGACGGCGGCCUCUGUUUUUCUUCCACCACCAUCAUCACAAGGAUAAGCUUAUAUAAAAACCUUACCACUUCCCCACCUCCGUCUCCGCCUCUCUUAAACCCACUCCCAAAUUUUUAUCAUUUGGGAUUUUUUUUCUUCUUUUUUAACUUUUCAAUUGAAAAGCCCUAGUUUUGUUUUAUUUAGCAAUUUGUGUUUAUGGAAGGAAGUGUUUUGUGAUGAGCUCUGAAGCGGUAGGGGAAAGGAAGGAAACCCAGAAAGUGAGGAGGAAACAGCGUCAGCCUAGUUUUCAUUCGGAGGCUGCAUGAGUAGGUUUAGGUUAGAAUCUCGCGGGUCCUUAAAUUUUGGGAGCUUCAACUUGAAGCAGAAUCGACAAUGGUCAUGGCUACAAUCGCUGGUGGUUGUACGGUUACUCUUUCACACUUGCUCUCUUCUAGUUCAUUCGCUUUCUCGCCGCGGAAAGCUUCCGUUUUUCCAAUGCAGGGGGGUUCCUCUCGAUUACGCUAUCGCCUCACUACUCGCCGAUGGUUGAGUUCCCGUUACUUAUCAUCUGCUUCUAAUGGAGUUGAUGGUUUCAUCUCAAAGUGUUCAUUGACCAACACCGAUACACAGUGCAAUCAUGUUGCUACCGAAGAGGAAACUGCAGAAGAAUUGUCAGCUGUUGAACCUGAUUGUUCAGUUCCAAUCAUUAAUCUCAAUUCUGAAAUCCUUGACGCUGAGCCUCUGAGUUUACUGACGGAAGACACUUAUGUGGAUUGUCUACUGACGACACUGCCUGUUUUAUCAGAGGAGGAACAGCAUGCCCUUGCUGCCACUCCAGCCCAUCCGAUGGGGUUAUAUGCUUUAUAUGCUAGCUGUUUGUCUGGAAAUUUGGUGGAACAACUUUGGAAUUUUGCUUGGCCUUCUGCUAUUGCAAUGAUACAUCCAAGCCUUCUGCCGGUGGCAGUCAUGGGUUUCUUCACUAAGCUUGCAAUAAUCAUUGGAGGUCCAUUAGUUGGAAAGUUUCUGGAUUAUUUUCCUAGAGUACCUGCAUAUAAUUGUUUGAAUGUUGUCCAGGCAGCUGCUCAGUUGUUAUCUGCAACAAUGAUUAUUUAUGCUCAUUCUGUCCCUUUUUCUUCUGGAUCAUCUCUGCUUCACCAGCCUUGGUUUGUUGCGCUCAUACUAGCUGGGGCUGUGGAGAGGUUAUCUGGAGUAGCUUUGGGGGUUGCAAUGGAACGUGAUUGGGUUGUGCAGCUAGCUGGAGUCAAUAGACCUAUUGCGCUUGCACAAGCAAAUGCAAUUCUUAGUCGAAUUGAUCUUCUCUGUGAGAUAGCUGGAGCAUCAUUGUUUGGCAUUCUUCUUUCUAAGUAUGAUCCUGUAACCUGCUUAAAAUUUGCUGCUGGUUUAAUGGUUUGGUCAUUACCAUUUACGAUAAUCCUCACAUGGCUAUCAAACAAGCUCUCUGCUGGGGUUCUUGACCGCCCUAAAUGUUCACAAACUUGUUCCAGAACAUUCACUGAUGCAGCUGAUUCUAAUGCUGAGAGUGUUGUGGAUAAAGGAGUGGAAGCUAUCAAGCUGGGGUGGAAGGAAUACAUGCAGCAGCCUGUUCUUCCUGCAAGUCUAGCAUAUGUUCUCCUUUAUUUCAAUAUUGUUCUCACUCCAGGAAGCAUGAUGACAGCAUUUUUAACGCAGCAUGGUCUAAAUCCAUCCAUCAUAGGGAGCUUUAGUGGACUAUGUGCGGUUAUGGGUGUUGCAGCUACAUUUGUGUCUGCAAUCCUGAUCAAGCGACUUGGCAUUUUAAAGGCUGGAGCACUUGGAUUGAUAUUUCAAGCUUCACUUCUCACCAUAGCAGUUGCUGUAUAUUGGAGUGGAUCUCUUUCUCAGCAUAGCCCUCUGCUCUUCUUCUUGUGCAUGAUUGUAUUGUCAAGAGUGGGGCACAAGUCAUAUGAUGUGGUUGCUGCACAGAUUCUACAAACUGGCAUACCAUCUUCGAAAGCCAAUCUUAUUGGGACAACAGAGGUUGCUGUUGCUAGUUUGGCAGAGUCUACAAUGUUGGGGGUUGCAAUUAUUGCCAAUGAUGUCUCACAUUUCAGAUAUCUAGCAAUGCUGUCACUUCUAUCGGUUGUGGGGUCAGCUUUUAUGUACUGCAGAUGGAUGUAUAAUCCAACAGAAGAACAAAGGAGUCUUUUCUCAUUUGAUCCUUUGUUUUAACCAUUGAUUUUUUGGUCGUUGUUGGAUAGAUAUUACAUAUACUAGAGCUUUCUAUACCUUUUAAAGGGCCACCCCCUCAUAAGUGCAUGUCCAAAUCUUCAUGUCUUCAAAAGUGAGAUAUAGUCAAAGGGGAAAAGAGAAAAUUUGAUUUCUCCAUAUUGUUAUGCUGUCCAAAUCUCUCCUAAAAUUAUAAUUGAUUUUCAUGUUGUUCAUGAUCUACUUUGACUUGGGCUUUGCCAACAUAAGGUCUCCAGAAAUGAGAUAUAGCCAUGAAAAACAUGAUAAAUCAACAAAUUCAUAUAGGGUGAUUGUUACGCCCUGGUUAGCCAAGACCGUUA
RNA transcript from Humulus lupulus (European hop), 2539 nucleotides. It is a transcript of the gene named solute carrier family 40 member 3, chloroplastic, with no coding region annotated. The transcript is spliced from 15 exons. NCBI's taxonomy places the organism in Eukaryota, Viridiplantae, Streptophyta, Magnoliopsida, Rosales, Cannabaceae. The record is from RefSeq and is a predicted model, not a curated record.